GUGUCAGCAGCCGCGGUAAUACGUAGGGUGCGAGCGUUAAUCGGAAUUACUGGGCGUAAAGCGUGCGCAGGCGGUUCGUUGUGUCCGUCGUGAAAGCCCCGGGCUUAACCUGGGAACUGCGAUGGAAACUAGCGAGCUGGAGUGUGGCAGAGGGGGGUGGAAUUCCGCGUGUAGCAGUGAAAUGCGUAGAGAUGCGGAGGAACACCGAUGGCGAAGGCAGCCCCCUGGGCUAACACUGACGCUCAGGCACGAAAGCGUGGGGAGCAAACAGGAUUAGAUACCCUGGUAGUCC
Molecule: ribosomal RNA, 292 nt
Filed under: uncultured bacterium
Lineage: Bacteria
Description: partial 16S ribosomal RNA
Rfam family: Bacterial small subunit ribosomal RNA
Source: RNAcentral